This 240-nucleotide unclassified non-coding RNA is filed under the name soil metagenome. RNAcentral describes it as "partial contains 5.8S ribosomal RNA, internal transcribed spacer 2, and large subunit ribosomal RNA". The record is from RNAcentral.
AAGACUAUAGACCUGCGGAGUACCUGCGGAGGGAUCAUUAAAGAAAUAAACUUGAUGGAUUGCUGCUGGCUCGUUAUUUCGAGUAUUGUGCACAUCUGUCAUUUUUAUCUUUCCACCAUGUGCACUCUGCAUAGGUCUGAUGACUCUUGAACAUCUGUUUGAGAUUUUUUACAUGUGGGUAUUGCGAGUUUCACGACUUGCUCUUGCCCUACAAUCAGGCCUAUGUUUUUUUUCUAAUAU